GGAAUAUAGCUCAAUUGGUAGAGUGCUUGCCUCGCAUGCAUGCAUAAGACCCUGGGUUUAAUCCCCAACACCA
Molecule: transfer RNA, 73 nt
Filed under: Marmota monax (woodchuck)
Lineage: Eukaryota; Metazoa; Chordata; Mammalia; Rodentia; Sciuridae
Description: tRNA.Ala
Source: RNAcentral